Molecule: long non-coding RNA, 1243 nt
Filed under: Oryctolagus cuniculus (rabbit)
Lineage: Eukaryota; Metazoa; Chordata; Mammalia; Lagomorpha; Leporidae
Description: lncRNA (ENSOCUG00000030394.1)
Source: RNAcentral
GUUUAUAUAAAAUUAAAACAUUAAAGUUAUAAAUUUAUAUAAAAUUAAAAUAUUAAAAUUUUUAAGUUAUAAACUAAUAACGCAUUGAAACACUGUCAGACAAGUGAAGUUACUUUAACCACCAACUUAAAUGUGCUGUUAUCAGUUAGCUACAUCUCUCUUCCAUGAUUUGCAAUACACUUACAUAUAUAUAAAUGUAAUGCAGAUGAUAAACUCUGAAACAUAGGUGACUCCUGAUUAGGAACUGUUGUCCAUCAGAAGUACUUAGUUUUCACAAAUUCUCCACUCACUGAUUUGUGUGAAACCUUGAUCUCAGAUUUGGAGGGAAAGUAAGUACAAGGUGCCAAGGCCUUUUGCCCAAGGGUUGGAGCAAUCAGACGUGUCUCUGAGAGGCCCAGGUCAAUCUAGCAUUCCUCUGAGACACGGACCUGGGCUAUCUGUGUCUGACAGUGGACUGGAAAGGCAGAGGAAGUCAACAGCUGGUUGUUACCAUUGAAGAAUUCAAGGAAAACUUAGUUUGAAGCCUGGUGCAUUUCUACCAGAGGUUAAAGUUUUAAAAGAGGGCAAAAGAAGGAAUUUAUAAUGAUUUCUCUUUCAAUGGUUGAAAAUCCUUCCAGCUGUCUAGUUUUUUUAAUUUUUAUAAAUUGAAAGAUAUUGAUUUCUAUCAGUAUUUUGCCUGAAUAUCUACUAUGAAGCAUGGAAUAAAAUUUCAUUUUUUUGUGAAAUAGGAAAAAAAAAAAAAAAAGGAAACACUGGUACCUGCUCAUUGAACAACCAGUAUAGGAAAAUAAAAUUUAAAAAAGCAACUGUACUCUAUAUGAUUUGGGAUUAUGUUUUUGGUCAUACAUAAUUUACUGGUUCCAUUCAUAUUUAACCCUCCAUCCUACUCAAACCUAUUUUUCAGGAGCUGCCUGAAUGUCAGUGGUGAUUUUGUACAUUUUACAGUCACUUUCAGAAAGUGGGGUAUCUACGGGGCUGGAAUACAAGACAACCAACACAGAGUGAAGGUUAAAUAGAACUAGAAUUUAUUAAGAAUAUUCUAUGUAGAAAGAAUAUUUUAAUUCAAACUAAAGCAUCCUAUUGAAUGGGGAAAAGUUGGAAGCAUUUCCACUGAAAUCUGGCACCAGGCAGGGAUGCCCACUCUCACCACUGCUAUUUAACAUAGUUCUGGAAGUUUUAGCCAGAGCCAUCAGACAAGAAAAAGAAAUCAAAGGAAUACAAAUCAAGAAGGAAGAAGUCAAAC